AUUGAACGCUGGCGGCAGGCCUAACACAUGCAAGUCGAACGAGUGGCGGACGGGUGAGUAAUGUAUGGGAAACUGCCUGAUGGAGUGGGCUAACUACUGGAAACGGUAGCUAAUACCGCAUACCAUCGGAUGUGCCCAGAUGGGAUUAGCUAGUAGGUGGGGUAAAGUCUCACCUAGGCGACGAGCCCUAGCUGGUCUGCGAGGAUGACCAGCAAGACUGGAACUGUGACACGGGCCAGACUCCUACGGAAGGCAGGAGGGGGGAAUAUGGGACAAUGGGAGAAAGCCUGAUGCAGCAAGGCCGCGUGGGUGAAGAAGGGCUUCGGGUUGGAAAGCACUUUCAUCGAGGAGGCGGUACUCGAAGAAGAAGCACCGGCUAACUCCGUGCCAGACGCCGCGGUAAUUC
This 406-nucleotide ribosomal RNA is filed under the name uncultured bacterium. RNAcentral's name for it is "partial 16S ribosomal RNA". It matches the Rfam family "Bacterial small subunit ribosomal RNA", at positions 29 to 526 of the family's 1533-position model. The record is from RNAcentral.